This is a non-coding RNA of Tritrichomonas musculus, 71 nucleotides long. The record is from the annotation of a GenBank genome assembly. NCBI's taxonomy places the organism in Eukaryota, Parabasalia, Tritrichomonadida, Tritrichomonadidae.
ACCGACGUAGUCUAAUGGUAAAACGUGGUGCUUUCAUCUCCUAUUUCAGGGUUCGAUUCCCUGGGUCGGUA